UCCGGUUUGUCACCGGCAGUCCCCUAUGAGUGCCCGGCAUAACCCGGUAGCAACAUAGGGCGAGGGUUGCGCUCGUUGCGGGACUUAACCCAACAUCUCACGACACGAGCUGACGACAGCCAUGCACCACCUGUGAAGGUCCGGCCGAACCGACCCCGUGUUUCCACGGGUGCGACCUACAUGUCAAGCCCAGGUAAGGUUCUUCGCGUUGCGUCGAAUUAAACCACAUGCUCCACCGCUUGUGCGGGCCCCCGUCAAUUCCUUUGAGUUUCAGCCUUGCGGCCGUACUCCCCAGGCGGGGCACUUAAUGCGUUAGCGCCGGCACCCAGGGGGUCGCUCCCCCAGGCACCUAGUGCCCAUCGUUUACGGCGUGGACUAC
RNAcentral lists this unclassified non-coding RNA (379 nucleotides) under uncultured bacterium. RNAcentral describes it as "contains 16S-23S intergenic spacer region". The record is from RNAcentral.